AUGAACGCUGGCGGCGUGCCUAAUACAUGCAAGUCGAGCGAACAGACGAGGAGCUUGCUCCUCUGACGUUAGCGGCGGACGGGUGAGUAACACGUGGAUAACCUACCUAUAAGACUGGGAUAACUUCGGGAAACCGGAGCUAAUACCGGAUAAUAUAUUGAACCGCAUGGUUCAAUAGUGAAAGACGGUUUUGCUGUCACUUAUAGAUGGAUCCGCGCCGAAUUAGCUAGUUGGUAAGGUAACGGCUUACCAAGGCGACGAUGCGUAGCCGACCUGAGAGGGUGAUCGGCCACACUGGAACUGAGACACGGUCCAGACUCCUACGGGAGGCAGCAGUAGGGAAUCUUCCGCAAUGGGCGAAAGCCUGACGGAGCAACGCCGCGUGAGUGAUGAAGGUCUUCGGAUCGUAAAACUCUGUUAUUAGGGAAGAACAAAUGUGUAAGUAACUAUGCACGUCUUGACGGUACCUAAUCAGAAAGCCACGGCUAACUACGUG
This 496-nucleotide ribosomal RNA is filed under the name uncultured bacterium. RNAcentral's name for it is "partial 16S ribosomal RNA". It matches the Rfam family "Bacterial small subunit ribosomal RNA", at positions 29 to 507 of the family's 1533-position model. The record is from RNAcentral.